UAGUGUAGUGGUUAGCACAUCUGAUUUACACGCAGAAGGUCCUGGGUUCGUGCCCUAG
This 58-nucleotide transfer RNA is filed under the name Pteropus alecto (black flying fox). It matches the Rfam family "tRNA", at positions 8 to 63 of the family's 71-position model. From Rfam's summary of the family: Transfer RNA (tRNA) molecules are approximately 80 nucleotides in length. Their secondary structure includes four short double-helical elements and three loops (D, anti-codon, and T loops). The record is from Rfam by way of RNAcentral. Lineage: Eukaryota; Metazoa; Chordata; Mammalia; Chiroptera; Pteropodidae.